Long non-coding RNA from Corticium candelabrum, 1627 nucleotides. RefSeq lists it as uncharacterized. The transcript is spliced from 6 exons. The record is from RefSeq and is a predicted model, not a curated record. NCBI's taxonomy places the organism in Eukaryota, Metazoa, Porifera, Homoscleromorpha, Homosclerophorida, Plakinidae.
AUUAACAAAAUAUAAAUUAUAUUUAAUCUGUUGAUAUUAAUGAAUUAGAACCCACAAUAUCAACAACUGAAUCAGCACGUAGUUUAGAGAAUAUUGGAGACGAUUCAAACAACGAGGGAAACAAUAGUUUGGUAUACGUACUUGUCGGUGUCCUAUGCGGCACAUUGUUUCUCUUUGUUUCUAUUGUUUUCGUUAUCAUCUACAAGAUGAAAAGAUGUCGGCAUGUGGUGAUGUACGGCCGCAAUGAGAACGGAUGUGGGCAGACAGAUAAAGGGGUCAACAACAAUCAGCGAAGAACACCGCCUCCAAUACCACCAAAACCUGCAGUAUAUGACAACAUAGAGAACUACAUUCAGCCACCAACACACUUGCCGUUUGGCCCAAGAAGGUUGCAGGUUCAAGUUAUCGAGUUAUGGCAUAAUUUUCUUGGGCAAGAAACUUACACACAAUUGCCUCUCUCUACUCAGGAGUAUAAAUCAGUUCCUAGUCUUUGACUGGGGUGGCAAAGGCCUCCAACUGCAACGACGGAUCGGACGAGAAAAACUGCUUUACAAACGAAUGCUUGAACAGCAAUCCAUGUCCGGGAGAUCAAAUGUGUAUUGACGAGCCGACUUCGUAUCGAUGCACGUGUGCACGAGGAUAUCGCAAGACGAACGACGGAUGUGAAGGAGAGUGGGUGUGUCGUUUGCUGUGUUGAUGGCACGUGAUUACAUCGUAAAGUUUGUCUUCUAUAGAGGUGGACGAGUGUCAGACGUAUGGACAUUGUGCACAGUUUUGUGUGAAUACGCCGGGUAGCUUUGUCUGCAUCUGCAGUAAUGGAUACACACUGAAGGCUGACGGUCACACGUGCAAAGCAAACAAUGGAAAUGCCAAGUUGUUGUACGCUGAUGGUCAGGAUGUCAAGCUAAUGGAUCUCAACACAAAGUCGAUUGAAGGCCUAGCCAAACACAGACUGUCAAUCGUUCCGGUCGCCUUCCAUUUCCGUACAGGCAUGAUCUACUUUGGUGUAUACCAAAGGAAUCAUAUAUGUGCAGUUCCCGCCGACAACAGCGCAGAGCCAAAACCGAUUCUUACAGCAGUGGAUGGCACUCGUAGCCCUGAUGGUCUUGCUGUCAACUACUUGAACGACUGGAUGUAUUGGUCUAGUCCUGCUUAUUGUAUGAUCUUUAUGGCUAAAUUGGAUGGUUUGUAUUGUCGAGUUGUUGUGAAUGAGAGUAUGAAGUUGGACGAGCCACGUGGUCUUGCUGUUGAUCCAUUGAGAGGGUAUCUGUUCUGGGCUGAUUGGGGGCUCACUCGCAUAUUGGUGCUGCUGCAAUGGACGGAACAGGACAGAGACACAUUGUAGUGGAUGGAUUGGUGUGGCCAAAUGGAAAAGCAGGCGAUACGAUAACAUAGAGGAUCUACUGGGUGGACGGCAAUCAUGGAGUGGUUGAGGUUUGUGAUUAUUUGGGUCACAAGCGAAGAGUUAUUAUACAGGGUGGUGUUGGACGGCCUCUCUUUAUUGCGUUGUAUGAGGAAAAGGUGUACGUGUCAUCUGAUUGGGGACCGAGGAAGGAGGCAAGAGUUUUUGUUGCCAAUCGAUUUGAUGGAUUACAUUUGAUGAUGAUUGAUCAUGAUGUGGACUCUG